ACACAUGCAAGUCGAACGGUAACAGGUCUUCGGAUGCUGACGAGUGGCGGACGGGUGAGUAACGCGUAGGAAUCUGCCCAUCUGUGGGGGAUACCAGUUGGAAACGACUGUUAAUACCGCAUAAUAUCUGCGGAUUAAAGGUGGCCUUUGCGCUGCCGCAGAUGGAUGAGCCUGCGUUGGAUUAGCUAGUUGGUGGGGUAAGGGCCUACCAAGGCUACGAUCCAUAGCUGAUUUGAGAGGAUGAUCAGCCACAUUGGGACUGAGACACGGCCCAAACUCCUACGGGAGGCAGCAGUGGGGAAUAUUGGACAAUGGGGGAAACCCUGAUCCAGCAAUGCCAUGUGUGUGAAGAAGGCUCUAGGGUUGUAAAGCACUUUAGUUGGAGAGGAAAGCCUGUGAGUUAAUAGCUUGCAGGAAGGACGUUGCCCAAAGAAUAAGGACCGGCUAACUCCGUGCCAGCAGCCGCGGUAAUACGGGGGGUCCGAGCGUUAAUCGGAAUUACUGGGCGUAAAGGGUCUGUAGGUGGUUUGUUAAGUCAGAUGUGAAAGCCCAGGGCUCAACCUUGGAACUGCAUUUGAUACUGACAAACUAGAGUAUGGUAGAGGAAUAGGGAACUUCUGGUGUAGCGGUGAAAUGCGUAGAGAUCAGAAGGAACACCAAUGGCGAAGGCAACAUUCUGGACCAAUACUGACACUGAGGGACGAAAGCGUGGGGAUCAAACAGGAUUAGAUACCCUGGUAGUCCACGCUGUAAACGAUGAGUACUAGCUGUUGGAUUCGGUGUAAAGGAUCUAGUGGCGCAGCUAACGCGUUAAGUACUCCGCCUGGGGACUACGGCCGCAAGGCUAAAACUCAAAGGAAUUGACGGGGACCCGCACAAGCGGUGGAGCAUGUGGUUUAAUUCGAUGCAACGCGAAGAACCUUACCUGGUCUUGACAUCCUGCGAACUUUCUAGAGAUAGAUUGGUGCCUUCGGGAACGCAGUGACAGGUGCUGCACGGCUGUCGUCAGCUCGUGUUGUGAAAUGUUGGGUUAAGUCCCGCAACGAGCGCAACCCCUAUUGAUAGUUACCAUCAUUAAGUUGGGUACUCUAUUGAGACUGCCGCUGACAAGGCGGAGGAAGGUGGGGACGACGUCAAGUCAUCAUGGCCCUUACGACCAGGGCUACACACGUGCUACAAUGGGUAUUACAGAGGGCUGCGAAGGUGCGAGCUGGAGCGAAACUCAGAAAGGUACUCUUAGUCCGGAUUGCAGUCUGCAACUCGACUGCAUGAAGUCGGAAUCGCUAGUAAU
Molecule: ribosomal RNA, 1291 nt
Filed under: Francisella sp. LA1
Lineage: Bacteria; Pseudomonadati; Pseudomonadota; Gammaproteobacteria; Thiotrichales; Francisellaceae
Description: partial 16S ribosomal RNA
Rfam family: Bacterial small subunit ribosomal RNA
Source: RNAcentral